RNAcentral lists this ribosomal RNA (255 nucleotides) under Rhodospirillales bacterium. Its description in RNAcentral is "partial 16S ribosomal RNA". It matches the Rfam family "Bacterial small subunit ribosomal RNA", at positions 524 to 776 of the family's 1533-position model. Lineage: Bacteria; Pseudomonadati; Pseudomonadota; Alphaproteobacteria; Rhodospirillales. RNAcentral also lists the same sequence under 1 other name. The record is from RNAcentral.
GACGAACCGUGCGAACGUUAUUCGGAAUCAUUGGGCUUAAAGGGCGCGUAGGCGGGUUGGCGCGUCGGCAGCUGAAAUCCCCCGGCUCAACCGGGGAACGGGCGCCGAUACGGCCGGUCCUGGAGGCGAGGAGGGGGACCCGGAACGUCCGGUGGAGCGGUGAAAUGCGUUGAGAUCGGACGGAACACCGACGGCGAAAGCAGGGUCCUGGACUCGUACUGACGCUGAGGCGCGAAAGCCAGGGGAGCGAACGGG